AGUGAACGCUGGCGGUAGGCCUAACACAUGCAAGUCGAACGGCAGCACAGUAAGAGCUUGCUCUUACGGGUGGCGAGUGGCGGACGGGUGAGGAAUACAUCGGAAUCUACUUUUUCGUGGGGGAUAACGUAGGGAAACUUACGCUAAUACCGCAUACGACCUACGGGUGAAAGCAGGGGAUCUUCGGACCUUGCGCGAUUGAAUGAGCCGAUGUCGGAUUAGCUAGUUGGCGGGGUAAAGGCCCACCAAGGCGACGAUCCGUAGCUGGUCUGAGAGGAUGAUCAGCCACACUGGAGCUGCGACACGGUCCAGACUCCUACGGGAGGCAGCAGUGGGGAAUAUUGGACAAUGGGCGCAAGCCUGAUCCAGCCAUACCGCGUGGGUGAAGAAGGCCUUCGGGUUGUAAAGCCCUUUUGUUGGGAAAGAAAAGCAGCAGGUUAAUACCCCGCUGUUCUGACGGUACCCAAAGAAUAAGCACCGGCUAACUUCGU
RNAcentral lists this ribosomal RNA (491 nucleotides) under uncultured bacterium. RNAcentral's name for it is "partial 16S ribosomal RNA". It matches the Rfam family "Bacterial small subunit ribosomal RNA", at positions 29 to 506 of the family's 1533-position model. The record is from RNAcentral.